RNAcentral lists this ribosomal RNA (445 nucleotides) under uncultured organism. Its description in RNAcentral is "partial 16S ribosomal RNA". It matches the Rfam family "Bacterial small subunit ribosomal RNA", at positions 335 to 797 of the family's 1533-position model. The record is from RNAcentral.
ACUCCUGCGGGAGGCAGCAGUGGGGAAUAUUGGACAAUGGGCGCAAGCCUGAUCCAGCCAUGCCGCGUGAGUGAUGAAGGCCCUAGGGUUGUAAAGCUCUUUCACCGGUGAAGAUAAUGACGGUAACCGGAGAAGAAGCCCCGGCUAACUUCGUGCCAGCAGCCGCGGUAAUACGAAGGGGGCUAGCGUUGUUCGGAUUUACUGGGCGUAAAGCGCACGUAGGCGGACUAUUAAGUCAGGGGUGAAAUCCCGGGGCUCAACCCCGGAACUGCCUUUGAUACUGGUAGUCUUGAGUUCGAGAGAGGUGAGUGGAAUUCCGAGUGUAGAGGUGAAAUUCGUAGAUAUGCGGAGGAACACCAGUGGCGAAGGCGGCUCACUGGCUCGAUACUGACGCUGAGGUGCGAAAGCGUGGGGAGCAAACAGGAUUAGAUACCCCUGUAGUCCC